UGUGCAGCUCAAGGAAGCAAAUAUGGCCA
RNAcentral lists this non-coding RNA (29 nucleotides) under Mus musculus (house mouse). The record is from RNAcentral. Lineage: Eukaryota; Metazoa; Chordata; Mammalia; Rodentia; Muridae.